CCUACGGGAGGCAGCAGCUAGGAAUAUUGGACAAUGGGCGAAAGCCUGAUCCAGCAACACCGCGUGGAGGACGAAGGCCUUCGGGUCGUAAACUCCUUUUUGGGGGGAUGAGAAAGGACAGUACCCCCAGAAUAAGGCCCGGCUAACUACGUGCCAGCAGCCGCGGUAAUACGUAGGGGCCAAGCGUUAUCCGGAUUUACUGGGCGUAAAGCGCAUGUAGGCGGUCUGCUAAGUCGGACGUGAAAGCUCCUGGCUGAACUGGGAGAGGUCGUGCGAAACUAGUAGACGAGAGGGUGGUAGAGGAGAGCGGAAUUCCAUGUGUAGCGGGGAAAUGCGUAGAUAUCUGGAGGAACACCAGUGGCGAAAGCGGCUCUCUGGCCCACUCCUGACGCUGAGAUGCGAAAGCCAGGGGAGAGAACGGGAGUAGAUACCCCGGUAGUC
This 441-nucleotide ribosomal RNA is filed under the name uncultured bacterium. Its description in RNAcentral is "partial 16S ribosomal RNA". It matches the Rfam family "Bacterial small subunit ribosomal RNA", at positions 338 to 795 of the family's 1533-position model. The record is from RNAcentral.